This 1388-nucleotide long non-coding RNA is filed under the name Ornithorhynchus anatinus (platypus). Its description in RNAcentral is "lncRNA (ENSOANG00000039232.1)". Lineage: Eukaryota; Metazoa; Chordata; Mammalia; Monotremata; Ornithorhynchidae. The record is from RNAcentral.
GCUCUCCGAAGUAGUCUGGUGGCACUUACUCCUGCUUUUCUGCAGACGGACCAACAAGCAGGGAGAAGGUGCAGAGCAGUGAUCGAGCAGAUGAAAGUCCAGACAACAAAUGACAAAUGAUCCUCGAGCUCUCAGUAGACAGGAACAGCAGCUUCUGGGCUCCAGCCGCCUCACAGACCAAUCUGUCAAUCAGUGCAUGAGCCUGCCAUUCAGCCUGCCCCAGAACCAGCGUAGAAUCAGAGGUCUGCAUCAAUCCACUCCACUUUUGUGUGCCAGGAUGGCCUUGAAUGUGUGGUUGCCCAGGCAAGACGAUGCAGUGACUUCAGAAAAGCCUCUAAGGAAACUACUGGCAAAGUUGGGGAGUCAGUCAGUCCUAUUUAUUCAACACUUACUGUGUGCAGAGAACUGUACUAAGUACUUGGGAGAAUACAGUAAGGCCCUGGUCUGAGCCAAGCUCCAGCCAGAAAAGAGAAUCCGAGGCCUUCGAUAGAAAAGUGAAAUCCCUUUCCUCCUGAGGGAAAGAGCAGGAAACUCCCCAAGUGAAGAGAAGUAUUAUCUUUGUAGUCAGCAAAAAGUUUUCUUUUGCUAACAUGCUAGAGAUCUCUUAUCUAGACAUGUCCUCUCUGAAAUGGGCUGUAAUCCCUAUUCAGCUAAAAUAUUCAGGUCCAAAUUCUUCAAAAGUUGAAGGGAAGGGAGGUGUUGAACCUGAAAGUUUGCUGUGGCUUUAAUCUCCAGAAGUAAAGAAUGGAGCUAUUGAACUUUAUCAAGGGUUCUAACAGGGAUCUGGGUAUAAUGUAACUUAGUCCUUCUCACUACUCAUUAACUGUUCUCCCUAGAGGGAUGGUCAAGAUAUUUAUUCUCCUGAUGUUAUUAACUGUAUUUCGCCGCCUAGGUGCCUCAAACCUCUCCCCGAAGAAGUGCUCCUUAAGAGACUCCUUCCAGGGAGAAGAAACUGCAUGAGGAGAUGAGCUCUGGCCAUGGAAAGCCGAUCCCGCCGUGCCCUCUGGGCGCUCAUGAGCACACCGUCAGCCCAUAACCAUCGUCCCUUGUCCCUGCCAUACAGGCAGUGGCAACCUGCCCUCCAGACAGCUGGGGAAGCUGAAGCCUUUGGGCCCAAGGUAAUUCCGCUCUGCAGAAUCCCCCAUGGCCGGCUCUCCAGUGUCCACUCCUUUGUGGAAGAAGCUGGUGGAUUUCAAAGGCUUCAGGUCAAGUCCGACUACACUGAAGCAGACGAACCAGGAGAACAGGGAUCGCGUUUUCAGCUCAAGGUGAAGGGGCUGCUGUCAGCCACCACUUCCACAUGCUACCCAAAUCAGGUAAGAAGGACUGGUCAACACUGCUUGUCCAAUCACUCUGCUCUGCCUGGACAGUUGAAGUCUCUCAUGUGA